This is a long non-coding RNA of Rosa chinensis, 637 nucleotides long. RefSeq lists it as uncharacterized. The transcript is spliced from 6 exons. The record is from RefSeq and is a predicted model, not a curated record. Lineage: Eukaryota; Viridiplantae; Streptophyta; Magnoliopsida; Rosales; Rosaceae.
CAACGUUUCCUCCUCAGUGCAACAUGCAGGAAGGUCUGGAAGGAAAUCCUGUUGCGCAAACUAUGAAAACCUAUUCUAGAAUCCUAACUGUCAUUGCAAUUCCAGUUAUGAUGAGCUUCCUCAAGGCACUGUUCUGUUAUUGACUCACCUCCAACAUCUUAUCUCUUACAUAUGGAUAAGUGAUGAGAUGCUCAAAUGUGAUUUGUGUACUCUUGGAACUAUGGCAGUGAGAUCUUGCUUCACAUUGAUCAAGUGAUUAUUUAUUAAUUUAACUAGUUGGUCCACAGGUACGUACAUUCUCGAUUCUCAACAAAUACUUUUCCCAACUGGGACCGUGCUCAGCCCAUGUGUGUCAUGGCCACAAUGGAGAAAUCAAUACCCUUAAGAGGAAAUGUUAACUGGAUGAAGGCACGUGAGGGACUGCUUAAGUGUACUGAACUUGGUUUAUCAAAAAAUGAGUUAAAGAAGCUGUUACCAAUUGUGGAUGCCAGUUCAUCCUGUUCAGGAGCUUUUGAUGGUGUCCUUGAGCUUCUAGUUCGAGCUGGCAGAAGCCUCGCUGAAGCUAUUAUGAUGAUGAUUCCUGAAGCAUGGCAAAAUGACAAGAACAUGGAUCCUGAUAGGAGAGCACUGUAUCACU